RNAcentral lists this small RNA (6082 nucleotides) under Rattus norvegicus (Norway rat). RNAcentral describes it as "uncharacterized LOC103692052". Lineage: Eukaryota; Metazoa; Chordata; Mammalia; Rodentia; Muridae. The record is from RNAcentral.
GGGGAUCGAACCUGGGUCUCUUACUAGAGCAGCAAGUGGUCUUAACCACUGAGCCAUCUCUCCAUUCCACGUGGUCAGCGUCUUUAUGACAAAAAGUAAAAUUGAGUUCUUAAUGACAUAAUGAAGGGAUGAAAAGUUUAGAGUUACUGGGUAGAUAUUAAUAGACCUCAAAAGUACACGUGAGAGGAGGCUUUUGUCUCAAGGUGGGUCCACUGGCAAGACGAGGCCACAGUGAAAGCCAAGAUUUGUGGUGAGGCCCACAUUGAGCUUCAUUCAUAUGACGAUCUGGGCCCAUCACUCACCACUCUGAACUUCAGCUUCCUUAGCUCUAAGAUGAUGUCUAUAUAGAACCUCUCUACUUCCUAGAUUCUUACAAAGACCAAAUUAAACGAGGGCUUAUCUAAGUGGAUGCUUUGCUCUUCUUUAAUGACAGGAAUGUCUUGUGAGUCUUUGGCUCUUUAACCUCCAGCCUCUAACACUGCAGACAGCAGGCACCCGACAAAUUAUAUUAAACGGCACGUUGCUUGCCUAUGGUGCACAGGGCCCUGAGUUAGAUUGCCAGCACUGCAUAAAUCUAUGGAGUCUCCCGUGCUCAUAAUGACAGCACUUAGGGGGUGGAGGCAGGAGCAGCAGAGGUUCAAGGUCAUCUUUGGUUACACAGCAAACCUGAGGCUAGACUGGACUGCAUGAGACGCUAUCUCAUUUUUUUUUUAAAGGUCAGAUUGUGUUGUUCUUUAAGCAAGCCACUCUCUGCAUUGCUUGAAGCUCCUUAAUGAAUGUGACUUGGACUGUCCCAGAGGGCACUUACUCCUUCAGCCCAUCAUACCAGAUCAAGCUGCGCUUCUCUGAUGAAGUACAUCAUUGUCUUCCUCAGCUGCAACCCUUGAGCCAGUGAUUCCAUUAUAUCACGUGGCUUUCCUCUGGCCCCCGUUCAUUCAUAUCCACACAAUGUCAUUUGUCGUAUGAAGGGAUUUGCCAUUCAGGAUCGCAAGUCUUGUCAUCCUGGGUAGCUCUGCGUUGCUUUAUCUGAGCUUGCGAAACGGCUCCGAACGUGAGCAGUCAGAAUCAAGUCCUGUUCUUGCCCUUCAUCACACUUGGCACGUUCUCUUUCCGGACACAUCCAGUGGAUAUUGUGCAGACUUUCUCCAGCUAAUCUCAGGAAGACUGAAGUUUUUAGACAGCCACCCUUCAUAUUUAGGGGAUGUAUUCUUCCACAGAUCCUGAGGAAACCCUGAAUGAAGUCCAAUCAGAUCAUUUGCCCCUUGGUGCACAUUGACACUACUCUCCGUAGGGUUUGACCUACCUUCUCUGAGGAUAGCAUCCAAAAAAGAGAUCCCACCACGUCUGCUGAUCCUAGGAAUGGGAUAUGGCUGCGUUUUAGAGAGAAAGGAGAAAAUUGCUUUUCCAUUCCAAAAGUAUAAGACUAUGACUCACGCUGGAAUUGGUUCAGGUACUGGCUGAAAAAAAGAUCCAGAUUGACAACAAAAGCUAAGGGCUGGGAGGAAGACAAGGUAACAGGUUAGAACUCAGAGAUGUGCAUGUAGGCCCUUAGGUCCACUGGAAAGAUACAAGGGAGUAAGUUAGAGGCGCAUUUUAAAACAGCGGAGUUACUAAUGUAAACAAAUCAACCGAAGAACCACCUUCCAAGUGAUUUUCAAGAUCCUAGAUAAUCAGAGGAACUCCAAACUCCAAACCCCGCAAGUGAAGGGGAAAUCCAAAGAAAACGAACCUAGCCUCGUAAACAAAGUGGAAAUUUCCUUCUGUCCAAAGGCGAGACAGUUCCAGCCGUAGAGGAAGGAAAGGGCGAAAACACAGUUCUGCCUGAAAUGACCUCCUAUUUUAAGAAAAAUCAACAGCCCCAAAAGGAGGAAAGGAAAAACAAAGUUCCACCCAGAAGGAAAUUGUAUGUAAACAGCCCGAAGGGAACCGGAGGUCUGAGAGGGCUAGUACAGGGAACGGAGCAAGCAGGGAAAGGCGCCAUUAGCCUCUGACAAUGUCAGCCCUGAACUUUGCAAGGACUGCUUUGUGAUUGACAAAAAACUGCUUGGGGGUAGGAGGCGCCAGACAAAAGCAAGUCCCCUCUGCAGCACGGAAACUUUGAUCUUUGGAGUUUGCUAUUUUUUCCCCCAGGACUUUGCUAGUGUGUAACUCGGGGAAGACCAGCAACCACAAAUGUUGGCUAUAAUUUUCUGCAAUUUGUCACAUGCCCUCUUAGAGCCCUGGUGAGACGGUUUUCUUUGUUUUCCCCCCCGGCUGCAUCCUGUAUGCUAGCAAGGUAGUUCAAAAAAGAUAAGAGGAAUCCUCCUUCAAUGCUUACAGUUUUGGGGCUACAUGAACCCACAGUCCAGUGUGUGUGUGUGUGUGUGUGUGUGUGUGUGUGUGUGUGUGUGUAGUGUGUGUGUGUGUACGCACGCACACGCACCUUAGCAAACUUGUGCUUCAGGACACCAUUUACAUACCUUUAUUUUACAUUACAUUAUAUUAUAUUUUAUUAUAUUUUAUUUUGUUUUUAAACGGGAUCUCUAAACAGCCUAGAGCUUACUAAUUGGGGUAGUCUGGCUGGCCAGUGAGCUCUAAGAAUCUUGUUGCCAACUAAGACAAGGAAUAGAGGUGUGUAUCACGGCACCCUGGCCUUUAUUUUGUUUUAUUUCAUUAAUAAUAUUUUUAAUGCGAAUUCUGGGAACUCCUCCUGCUUAUAAAGUGAUGGUUUUACCAACUGAGCCGCCACCCCAGCUCCGAUGGGCCUAUUUUAAUUUUAUUUUUCUAUAAACACAUUUGUUUGGCCCAGACAGCAUCUAAUCCACCUUUGGGUCUAUCGCUUAAGAAUCAAGAGAUUCCAUGAAAAAUUCGUAUUUUUUAUUUGCUGCUGACAUUUUUGAUAGCAUAGAUAUUAAGCUGAUAUAGGGGUGAGAUCUUCUGGGGCUGGGUACCCAAUGCCCUGUUCAGGUUGGACUUGCACGUGAUAACUUGACGUUCCAUCAGUCGACUUGUUUCUGUCAUGUCUUGCUGGGCCCUCCCAUGGGAGUUCAUAUCGGUUUCCAAAUUGGUCCGUAUACAUCCCUAGGAAUUGUCCUUGUUUCAUCCAGGGUGCCACAGACUGCUAGGGACAUUAGGUCUGCUUUUGAACCUAGCAUAGCGUUGUUUUGUGAUGGGUGUUCUCUGUGAGAAGAGAGGGAAUCCAGCGUCUAUGCCCACACUGCUUCAGUCUGUAAGCUAGGUCCAGAGUGAAUCGCAGCAGUCUUCUCUAAGACACAUCCCCUACAUGUGAUAGUAUUCACUCUAAAUCUCUAUAUGCAGAAUCAUAUUGAUGCUACAGAAAUCUCUUUCUUGUCAGAGACUUUCUAGGUAGCAGCACCUGGGACAGUUCAAACAGAGCCCAAAGUGAGCAAAAGGGAACAGCCCAAUACACUAUGUCACAUAGUUUAGUACAAGCCUAUGGAGCAAUAAUUUGUUCAUCCAUCCAUCCAUCCAUCCACCCAUCCAUCCAUCCAGCCAGCCAUUCAUCCAUCCAUCCAUCCAUCCAUCCAGCAUUCUUUUAGCUAUAUUCUCAGACUUAUUCUCAGCCUUAGAAAACGGGCCUGCAGGCAUUCGUCCACUCCAACUGUUUUUUGUACAAUCUCAUCAUGGUUCUUUACCUUGGUCAUUUCUGCAAUUCAGUGGAGACCAGUAUAUAACCAACCCUUUCACACAAAAUGGCCUGCCAGAAGCCCAGGGGUGAGCUGAUUUUCAAAGGUCUCCAACCCUUAAGUGAACCUCCUUUGGUGCUUUCAGGGAUUCUGUUGUUGGAGCCACAAGGACCCUUAAGAAAAAUCCUUGGGGGCAGCUGGUCCCUGCUGUCAUUGAAACCCAAAGGAGGAACACCAUGGGUGAGGAACUGCUGCCUGGAUGUCAUGAGGUUGCUUGUAUUUCAAAAGAACUCAGCUUACCACCUCUGUGGCUUUUAGCCUCUCUAAUAAAGCAGUUUUUAAAAAGCUAAAAACGUAAUCUGCCUUUUAAAUCUGCUGUUCCUGCCGAGUCUAAAUGGGGUUGCAGCAAAAUGCCCAGCCAGCAUUAGAGCUCCCUGAAGUCAAUCAACUGAAAUGCGGUUGCUUGGGGGGCUGAAAUAUAUUUGAAAACACUCUGGGGGUGGCACAAAAUAACUGAACAAAGGCGAAUUACACGAAAGGAAGAAGCAGGCAGAGGCUUCUGAGGCAAAAGGAUCCCUUCUGAGUUCUUGAAAGCAUGGAAACUGAGGUAGGGGUCCCGACCUUAACUAUUGAUCUACCUCCUCAGAAUAAUGUUUUUUUUUCCUUUUGGCAUUAGAAAAAUAUUAUCACAGUGAAUGUUGCUUCAAAUUUGAAGCACAGACUAGCCAGAAAUAUGCAGACUGUUUGAGUAAAUGCCCUAACACCCUCAGAGGACAGGCUGAAAACAAAGAUGGGCUUGACUGUAAAGUCAUCACGCAGCCUUUCAGGGGUCACUCUCACACGCUUUCCUGAUCCCGUUAGGAAAGUACAAGAAUUCUCAGUGACUUGGUUGUUUGCUAAGGGGAACUCUAGUUUUCUGUGUAUCCCAUUGAAAAUAAGUCAACAUGAAGAAAACUAGGAAGAAAAUCUGCUAUCAAUAAACUAGUUUUUAAAAACAAAGACACCUACAAAGAAAGUAUUAUCUUCUUAAUAAUUUUUUGAAAGGAUGGAUGUGGUUUGUGAAAAGAGUGAUGUAUGGUGAUUUAUGGUGGCGUAGAAGUCCAUUUUGGAUUACCUAACAAACAUAACCUAUCUGACAGGGCUAGUUUGUUCUAUCUUCAGUGUAUAUCUAGUGGGAUAUCAAAGAGAGAGGGAACAGAAUCCACCUCUUAAUAAAUUAGCAUUAGAUUUAAAUGGGUUGCCUUUAGAUUGUAUGUGGACCAAGUGAAUUUUAUACUUAGAUAUAUGGAAAGGACAGCAAUAGCAACACAGGAGGGUACUUGAAGGUACCUCUCUUUGAUUUUCACUCUACACAAGGUAUGUAGAGAAGACUAUGUUGCUAGAAAUUUUUUUUUUCUUUGUUGGAUGACACUGUGGAGGUAGAAGCUUGUAUGUACUUUUUCUUCCACUGUGCAAUUGCUUGCUGUCCUUAUAAGGCCAACGAGAGCUCUGAAUGCACAGACACAAGAGUGCCACGUUGAAUGUCCCAAGACACAAGGGUGCAGUGUGCAAUGACCCAGGAUACAAGAGCACAGUGUGCAAUGUCUCAGGACACAAGGGUGCCUCGUGCAGUGCUGUAGGACACUUGAGAAGGUGGGUGCAUUUGAGAACAAAUUGCAAGGGAUUGAAGCCUUGGUUUGGGUAAGAAUGGAAAAAUCUAGAUGCUUGGCCAAGGCAGUUCUGAAGGACUUUGAUCCGGAUAUCUCAGGAGAAUGAACUUGAACCAUGCCAGCAUUCUCUGGUUUUGGACAGGCAAAGAAUAUAGUAAAGAAAUAAAUAAAACCCAGAAUUUUUAAUGGGUUUUUAGAACUUCCACUUCUGGCUGCAAGUGGGAGACAAAAGGCAAAUAGAUAUUGUCCUGAAAAUGCUAAGCCAGGAUUUUUUUUUUUUUCUAACCUCAGAAAAACACUGGGGUUUGAUGAGGUUCAGCUUUGGGGCAAGUUUCAGGACAGUGUUUGUUCUAGCAACUUCCUCCCUUCUCUGUGGAAAGUCUGUUGGAGUCUGUUGUGGUUCUGGAGGCCAAGCUCUGAGGGCUCUAGGCUUCAGUGUCAUGAGACGGGCUCCAAUCUGUCAUUUGUGUCUCUGCCCACACUUUCCUCAGUGUGUUUUUUGGACCAAGGCCUUCCCAGACAAGUCCCUACAUGAAGGAGAGCCCAGACCCUUUCUCAUCCAGUUCUUUCUGGAAGAACCUCCAUGUUUAUGCCCAAUCUCCCAGAAUUCCCUGGAUAUACCAGUCUCUGCUCCCUUAGAAGGGUGAUGCCCCUGUUUCUGCCAUAGUUGUGUCCAAUUCCACCAUUAAGGAUGUGCCUUGGAUCUGGGGACAUUCCUUAUAUGUUGACUCAGGGCAGAAGCUGCAUAACACUUUAACUCUGGAAAAUCAUUAUUGUCUGGGUCCUAGAAUUCGGGAUAUAUCUUCC